This 253-nucleotide ribosomal RNA is filed under the name uncultured bacterium. RNAcentral describes it as "partial 16S ribosomal RNA". It matches the Rfam family "Bacterial small subunit ribosomal RNA", at positions 524 to 776 of the family's 1533-position model. The record is from RNAcentral.
GACGAACCGUGCGAACGUUGUUCGGAAUCACUGGGCUUAAAGGGCGCGUAGGCGGGCACGCAAGUCAGGGGUGAAAUCCUCCGGCUCAACCGGAGAACGGCUUUUGAUACUGCGUGCCUCGAGGGGGGUAGGGGCAUGUGGAACUUCCGGUGGAGCGGUGAAAUGCGUAGAUAUCGUAAGGAAGACCAGUGGCGAAGGCGGGUCUCUGGACAGUUCCUGACGCUGAGGCACGAAGGCCAGGGGAGCAAACGGG